UAGUCCACGCCGUAAACGAUGUCUACUAGCCGUUGGGGAACUUGAUUCCUUAGUGGCGCAGCUAACGCACUAAGUAGACCGCCUGGGGAGUACGGCCGCAAGGUUAAAACUCAAAUGAAUUGACGGGGCCCGCACAAGCGGUGGAGCAUGUGGUUUAAUUCGAUGCAACGCGAAGAACCUUACCUGGUCUUGACAUCCUGCGAACUUUCUAGAGAUAGAUUGGUGCCUUCGGGAACGCAGUGACAGGUGCUGCAUGGCUGUCGUCAGCUCGUGUUGUGAAAUGUUGGGUUAAGUCCCGUAACGAGCGCAACCCUUAUCCUUAUUUGCCAGCACUUCGGGUGGGAACUCUAAGGAGACUGCCGGUGACAAACCGGGAGGAAGGUGGGGACGACGUCAAGUCAUCAUGGCCCUUAUGGGGCUGGGGCUACACACGUGCUACAAUGGGGCUGGUACAGAGGGGUCGCGAACCCGCGAGGGGGAAGCCAAUCCCACAAAGCAGCUC
Molecule: ribosomal RNA, 502 nt
Filed under: uncultured bacterium
Lineage: Bacteria
Description: bacterial SSU rRNA
Rfam family: Bacterial small subunit ribosomal RNA
Source: RNAcentral